UUGAAGUCAGGCCACUUGUGCCACGGCUUGAGCAAACCGUGCUGCCUGUAGCUCCGCCCAAAACGGGAGGCGUAAAAAUUCCCAGGGAGGCCAUGCGCCACGGAAGCUGUACGCGUGGCAUAUUGGACUAGCGGUUAGAGGAGACCCCUCCCAUCACCAACAAAACGCAGCAAAAGGGGGCCCGAAGCCAGGAGGAAGCUGUACUCCUGGUGGAAGGACUAGAGGUUAGAGGAGACCCCCCCAACACAAAAACAGCAUAUUGACGCUGGGAAAGACCAGAG
RNAcentral lists this long non-coding RNA (281 nucleotides) under dengue virus type 4. Its description in RNAcentral is "Dengue virus type 4 partial sfRNA2". The stretch from base 176 to 248 matches the Rfam family "Flavivirus DB element". The record is from RNAcentral. Lineage: Riboviria; Orthornavirae; Kitrinoviricota; Flasuviricetes; Amarillovirales; Flaviviridae.